CCUACGGGCGGCAGCAGUGGGGGAUAUUGCACAAUGGGGGGAACCCUGAUGCAGCGACGCCGCGUGGGUGAAGAAGCGCCUCGGCGCGUAAAGCUCUGUCAGCAGGGAAGAAAAUGACGGUACCUGAAGCAGAAGCCCCGGCUAACUACGUUCCAGCAGACGCGGGAACACGUAGGGGGCAAGCGUUAUCCGGAGGUACUGGGUGGAAAGGGGGCGCAGGCGGCGCAGCAAGCCAGGAGUGAAAGCCCGGGGCCCAACCCCGGGACUGCUCUUGAAACUGCGUGGCUGGAGUGCAGGAGGGGUAGGCGGAAUUCCUGGUGUAGCGGUGAAAUGCGUAGAGAUCAGGAGGAACACCGGUGGCGAAGGCGGCCUACCGGACUGCAACUGACGUUGAGGCCCGAAAGCGUGGGGAGCAAACAGGAUUAGAUACCCCAGUAGUC
Molecule: ribosomal RNA, 440 nt
Filed under: uncultured bacterium
Lineage: Bacteria
Description: partial 16S ribosomal RNA
Rfam family: Bacterial small subunit ribosomal RNA
Source: RNAcentral